Molecule: ribosomal RNA, 116 nt
Filed under: Paenibacillus sp. JDR-2
Lineage: Bacteria; Bacillati; Bacillota; Bacilli; Caryophanales; Paenibacillaceae
Source: RNAcentral
UGGUGGCGAUGGCGGAGGGGAACCACGCGUUCCCAUACCGAACACGACCGUUAAGCCCUCCAGCGCCGAUGGUACUUGGACCGCAGGGUCCUGGGAGAGUAGGACGUCGCCAAGCG